CCCUCCCUCUUUCUUCAUGCCUAACACAUGCAAGUCGAACGAGACCUUCGGGUCUAGUGGCGCACGGGUGCGUAACGCGUGGGAACCUGCCCUUAGGUUCGGAAUAACUCCCCGAAAGGGGUGCUAAUACCGGAUAAUGUCUUCGGACCAAAGAUUUAUCGCCUUUGGAUGGGCCCGCGUUGGAUUAGCUAGUUGGUAGGGUAAAAGCCUACCAAGGCGACGAUCCAUAGCUGGUCUGAGAGGAUGAUCAGCCACACUGGGACUGAGACACGGCCCAGACUCCUACGGGAGGCAGCAGUGGGAAUAUUGGACAAUGGGCGAAAGCCUGAUCCAGCAAUGCCGCGUGAGUGAUGAAGGCCUUAGGGUUGUAAAGCUCUUUUACCCGGGAUGAUAAUGACAGUACCGGGAGAAUAAGCGCCGGCUAACUCCGUG
RNAcentral lists this ribosomal RNA (432 nucleotides) under uncultured bacterium. RNAcentral's name for it is "partial 16S ribosomal RNA". It matches the Rfam family "Bacterial small subunit ribosomal RNA", at positions 36 to 507 of the family's 1533-position model. The record is from RNAcentral.